UACGUAGGUGGCAAGCGUUGUCCGGAAUUAUUGGGCGUAAAGCGCGCGCAGGUGGUUUCUUAAGUCUGAUGUGAAAGCCCACGGCUCAACCGUGGAGGGUCAUUGGAAACUGGGGAACUUGAGUGCAGGAGAGAAGAGUGGAAUUCCACGUGUAGCGGUGAAAUGCGUAGAGAUGUGGAGGAACACCAGUGGCGAAGGCGGCAUCCUGGCCAUGUACUGACGCUCAGGGGCGAAAGCGUGGGGAGCAAACCGG
This 253-nucleotide ribosomal RNA is filed under the name uncultured bacterium. Its description in RNAcentral is "partial 16S ribosomal RNA". It matches the Rfam family "Bacterial small subunit ribosomal RNA", at positions 524 to 776 of the family's 1533-position model. The record is from RNAcentral.